UACGGGGGGAGCAAGCGUUGUUCGGAUUUACUGGGCGUAAAGGGCGCGUAGGCGGUUUGAAGGGUGUGAUGUGAAAGCCUUGGGCUUAACCUGAGAAGUGCAUCGCAAACUAGCAAACUGGAGUAUAUGAGAGGGUGGCGGAAUUUCCGGUGUAGCGGUGAAAUGCGUAGAGAUCGGAAGGAACGUCAAUGGCGAAGGCAGCCCCCUGGCAUAAUACUGACGCUGAGGCGCGAGAGCGUGGGGAGCGAACAGG
Molecule: ribosomal RNA, 253 nt
Filed under: uncultured bacterium
Lineage: Bacteria
Description: partial 16S ribosomal RNA
Rfam family: Bacterial small subunit ribosomal RNA
Source: RNAcentral